Molecule: non-coding RNA, 203 nt
Filed under: Homo sapiens (human)
Lineage: Eukaryota; Metazoa; Chordata; Mammalia; Primates; Hominidae
Description: Archaeal large subunit ribosomal RNA
Rfam family: Archaeal large subunit ribosomal RNA
Source: Rfam by way of RNAcentral
AAGUAAAAGGAACUCAGCAAAUCUUAUCCUGCCUGUUUACCAAAAACAUCACCUCUAGCAUUACCAGUAUUAGAGGCACUGCCUGCCCAGUGACAUAUGUUCAACGGCCGCAGUAUCCUGACCAUGUAAGGUAGCAUAAUCACUUGUUCCCUAAAUAGGGACUUGUAUGAAUGGCCACGCGAGGGUUCAGCUGUCUCUUACUU